RNAcentral lists this non-coding RNA (151 nucleotides) under Amborella trichopoda. RNAcentral describes it as "Bacterial large subunit ribosomal RNA". It matches the Rfam family "Bacterial large subunit ribosomal RNA", at positions 2657 to 2813 of the family's 2925-position model. The record is from Rfam by way of RNAcentral. Lineage: Eukaryota; Viridiplantae; Streptophyta; Magnoliopsida; Amborellales; Amborellaceae.
GAGCAUUGAGAGGACCUUUCCCUGGUACGAGAGGACCAGAAAGGACGCACCUCUGGUGUACCAAUUAUCGUGCCCGCGCUGGGUAGCCAAGUGUGGAGCGGAUAACUGUUGAAAGCAUCUAAGUAGUAAGCUCACCCCAAGAUGAGUGCUC